Molecule: ribosomal RNA, 200 nt
Filed under: uncultured bacterium
Lineage: Bacteria
Description: partial 16S ribosomal RNA
Rfam family: Bacterial small subunit ribosomal RNA
Source: RNAcentral
UACGAGGGGUGCAAGCGUUAAUCGGAAUUACUGGGCGUAAAGCGUUCGUAGGCGGUUGAUUAAGCAAGAUGUGAAAGCCCAGGGCUCAACCUUGGAACUGACAUUUUGACUGGUCAACUAGAGUACUGUAGAGGGUGGUGGAAUUUCCAGUGUAGCGGUGAAAUGCGUAGAGAUUGGAAGGAACAUCAGUGGCGAAGGCG